This 587-nucleotide ribosomal RNA is filed under the name Chaetomium globosum. RNAcentral's name for it is "eukaryotic LSU rRNA". The stretch from base 216 to 369 matches the Rfam family "5.8S ribosomal RNA". The record is from RNAcentral. Lineage: Eukaryota; Fungi; Ascomycota; Sordariomycetes; Sordariales; Chaetomiaceae.
AGACGUUAGGUCUCGUUGGUGACCAGCGGAGGGAUCAUUACAGAGUUGCAAAACUCCCUAAACCAUUGUGAACGUUACCUAAACCGUUGCUUCGGCGGGCGGCCCCGGGGUUUACCCCCCGGGCCCCCCUGGGCCCCACCGCGGGCCCCCCCCGGAGGUCACCAAACUCUUGAUAAUUUAUGGCCUCUCUGAGUCUUCUGUACUGAAUAAGUCAAAACUUUCAACAACGGAUCUCUUGGUUCUGGCAUCGAUGAAGAACGCAGCGAAAUGCGAUAAGUAAUGUGAAUUGCAGAAUUCAGUGAAUCAUCGAAUCUUUGAACGCACAUUGCCCCCCCCAGUAUUCUGGCGGGCAUGCCUGUUCGAGCGUCAUUUCAACCAUCAAGCCCCCGGGCUUGUGUUGGGGACCUGCGGCUGCCGCAGGCCCUGAAAAGCAGUGGCGGGCUCGCUGUCACACCGAGCGUAGUAGCAUACAUCUCGCUCUGGGCGUGCUGCGGGUUCCGGCCGUUAAACCACCUUUUAACCCAAGGUUGACCUCGGAUCAGGUAGGAAGACCCGCUGAACUUAAGCAUAUCAAUAAGCGGAGGAAU